Long non-coding RNA from Sapajus apella (tufted capuchin), 88 nucleotides. RefSeq lists it as uncharacterized. The record is from RefSeq and is a predicted model, not a curated record. The transcript has 3 exons. NCBI's taxonomy places the organism in Eukaryota, Metazoa, Chordata, Mammalia, Primates, Cebidae.
GUUUCCUAAAUAUACAACUAUGUCAUCUGCAACCAGGGACAAUUUGACUUUCUUCUUUCCAAUUUGAAUACCUUUUAUUUCUUUCUCU